CCUACGGGAGGCAGCAGUGGGGAAUAUUGGGCAAUGGACGCAAGUCUGACCCAGCAACGCCGCGUGAAGGAAGAAGGCUUUCGGGUUGUAAACUUCUUUUAAGGGGGAAGCGCAGAAGACGGUACCCCUUGAAUAAGCCACGGCUAACGACGUGCCAGCAGCCGCGGUAAUACGUAGGUGGCAAGCGUUGUCCGGAUUUAAUGGGUGUAAAGGGCGUGCAGCCGGGAAGACAAGUCAGAUGUGAAAUCCCGAGGCUCAACCGCGGAACUGCAUUUGAAACUGUUUGUCUUGAGUAUCGGAGAGGUAAGCGGAAUUCCUAGUGUAGCGGUGAAAUGCGUAGAUAUUAGGAAGAACACCAGUGGCGAAGGCAGAUUACUGGACGACAACUGACGGUGAGGCGCGAAAGCGUGGGGAGCAAACAGGAUUAGAUACCCUAGUAGUC
This 442-nucleotide ribosomal RNA is filed under the name uncultured bacterium. RNAcentral's name for it is "partial 16S ribosomal RNA". It matches the Rfam family "Bacterial small subunit ribosomal RNA", at positions 338 to 795 of the family's 1533-position model. The record is from RNAcentral.